RNAcentral lists this transfer RNA (76 nucleotides) under Tamilnaduibacter salinus. RNAcentral's name for it is "tRNA-Thr". It matches the Rfam family "tRNA". Rfam says of the family: Transfer RNA (tRNA) molecules are approximately 80 nucleotides in length. Their secondary structure includes four short double-helical elements and three loops (D, anti-codon, and T loops). The record is from RNAcentral. Lineage: Bacteria; Pseudomonadati; Pseudomonadota; Gammaproteobacteria; Pseudomonadales; Marinobacteraceae. RNAcentral also lists the same sequence under 1 other name.
GCUCAUGUAGCUCAGUCGGUAGAGCACAUCCUUGGUAAGGAUGAGGUCGGCGGUUCAAAUCCGCCCAUGAGCUCCA